CGUAGGUAACCUGCCCAUGUGUCCGGGAUAACUGCUGGAAGCGGUAGCUAAAACCGGAUAGGUAUACAGAGCGCAUGCUCAGUAUAUUAAAGCGCCCAUCAAGGCGUGAACAUGGAUGGACCUGCGGCGCAUUAGCUAGUUGGUGAGGUAACGGCCCACCAAGGCGAUGAUGCGUAGCCGGCCUGAGAGGGUAAACGGCCACAUUGGGACUGAGACACGGCCCAA
Molecule: ribosomal RNA, 225 nt
Filed under: uncultured bacterium
Lineage: Bacteria
Description: partial 16S ribosomal RNA
Rfam family: Bacterial small subunit ribosomal RNA
Source: RNAcentral